GACGAACGCUGGCGGCGUGCCUAAUACAUGCAAGUUGAGCGCUGAAGGUUGGUGCUUGUCCCGACUGGAUGAGCAGCGAACGGGUGAGUAACGCGUGGGGAAUCUGCUUUUGAGCGGGGGACAACAUUUGGAAACGAAUGCUAAUACUGCAUAAAAACUUUAAACACAAGUUUUAAGUUUGAAAGAUGCAAUUGCAUCACUCAAAGAUGAUCCCGCGUUGUAUUAGCUAGUUGGUGAGGUAAAGGCCCACCAAGGCGAUGAUACAUAGCCGACCUGAGAGGGUGAGAGGCCACAUUGGGACAGUGACACGGCCCAAAGACCUACAGGAGACAGCAGUAGGGAAACUUCGGCAAUAGGCGAGAGACUGAGCGAGAGACGCCGCGUGAGGGAAGAGGGGUCUCGGGUCGUAAAAAUCUGUUGGGAGGGAAGAAAGUUGGUGAGGGUGGAAAGCUCGUUAAGUGACGGUAACUACACAGAAAGGGACGGCUAACUACGUG
RNAcentral lists this ribosomal RNA (497 nucleotides) under uncultured bacterium. RNAcentral describes it as "partial 16S ribosomal RNA". It matches the Rfam family "Bacterial small subunit ribosomal RNA", at positions 28 to 507 of the family's 1533-position model. The record is from RNAcentral.